UACGUAGGGUGCGAGCGUUAAUCGGAAUUACUGGGCGUAAAGCGUGCGCAGGCGGUUCGUUGUGUCGGCGGGGAAAGCCCCGGGCUCAACCUGGGAAUGGCCGUUGAAACUGGCGAACUGGAGUGUGGCAGAGGGGGGUGGAAUUCCGCGUGUAGCAGUGAAAUGCGCAGAUAUCAGGAGGAACACCGGUGGCGAAGGCGGGUCUCUGGGCCGAUACUGACGCUGAGGAGCGAAAGCGUGGGGAGCGAACAGG
RNAcentral lists this ribosomal RNA (253 nucleotides) under uncultured bacterium. RNAcentral describes it as "partial 16S ribosomal RNA". It matches the Rfam family "Bacterial small subunit ribosomal RNA", at positions 524 to 776 of the family's 1533-position model. The record is from RNAcentral.